Molecule: ribosomal RNA, 253 nt
Filed under: uncultured bacterium
Lineage: Bacteria
Description: partial 16S ribosomal RNA
Rfam family: Bacterial small subunit ribosomal RNA
Source: RNAcentral
UACGGAGGGUGCAAGCGUUAUCCGGAUUCACUGGGUUUAAAGGGUGCGUAGGAGGGCAGGUAAGUCAGUGGUGAAAUCUCCAAGCUUAACUUGGAAACUGCCGUUGAUACUAUCUGUCUUGAAUAUUGUGGAGGUGAGCGGAAUAUGUCAUGUAGCGGUGAAAUGCUUAGAUAUGACACAGAACACCGAUUGCGAAGGCAGCUCACAAAACUAUAACUGACGCUGAGGCACGAAAGCGUGGGGAUCAAACAGG